GAGCAGCUAUUGAUGUUUCCUAGGCAAUGCUGACAAAACCACACAGCCUCUAAUUGGCUCCACUACAAAUAUUUACAGCUGUGAAAAGAAGUUUGCUGAUCCCAUGACGGUAGCCAUGGUUGCCUAUCUUUUUAGCUGCUGUUGUGCUGGUGAGAAACAUGAAUAGGUUGCAAGAAUCCCUCACUGGCUUUGUAGCAGGAACAUUUGCUGACCCAAAUGUAGAAGCCAAUUAAGCUCUAAAGCUUCUGUGUGUUUUUCUGAUUGAAUGUGUACUUACUUCUCCUGUUGGGAGGAAAGGAAGAAAGUGGAGCCAGGCUCUUCCCAGUGGUGUUCAGUGACAGGACAAAAGAUCACAACUCUGUCUCAAUUUAUACUGAGAAUACCACAGUGGGGGAAGAAGUAGAUCUGACCAAUUUCCUUGUGUGUAUGAAGAUGGAAUAGGAUCCACAAGCCUUAAUGAUGCUCUUAACAUUUCUCUUCCUGUAAUGAGGCUCAGUGCUUUGUUUCUUCAUUGUUUAUUCAUAGCAAGGACCAUGUGUUCAAUAUGCAAAAUAAAAAAUACAUCAACGUAUUUAUAAAUUUAAUAAUUAAAUAAAAUUUUUAAAUAAGCCAUGAAAAAAAUGUAAAAAUAAUAAAAAAAAAACAGUUGAAAAAUGUGUAUUUAUUUUUAAAGGUACUGUGGAUCAAUAGCCUUCACAUAAUCCUGUUGCUGUGCCAACAUAUCAGGCUGCUAAAGAUGCUGAUUUGUCUGCUUUAAAUAUUAU
Molecule: long non-coding RNA, 764 nt
Organism: Passer domesticus (house sparrow)
Lineage: Eukaryota; Metazoa; Chordata; Aves; Passeriformes; Passeridae
Exons: 3
Source: RefSeq, a predicted model, not a curated record